RNAcentral lists this ribosomal RNA (375 nucleotides) under uncultured eubacterium 4-33. Its description in RNAcentral is "bacterial SSU rRNA". It matches the Rfam family "Bacterial small subunit ribosomal RNA", at positions 94 to 504 of the family's 1533-position model. The record is from RNAcentral. Lineage: Bacteria; Bacillati; Cyanobacteriota.
AGUGGCGGACGGGUGAGUAACGCGUGAGAAUCUGCCCUCAGGAGGGGGAUAACGGUUGGAAACGACCGCUAAUACCCCAUAUGCCGAGAGGUGAAAUGAAAUUCGCCUGAGGAUGAGCUCGCGUCUGAUUAGCUAGUUGGUAGGGUAAAGGCCUACCAAGGCAUUGAUCAGUAGCUGGUCUGAGAGGAUGAUCAGCCACACUGGGACUGAGACACGGCCCAGACUCCUACGGGAGGCAGCAGUGGGGAAUUUUCCGCAAUGGGCGAAAGCUGACGGAGCAACGCCGCGUGAGGGAUGAAGGCCUCUGGGCUGUAAACCUCUUUUAUCAAGGAAGAAGAACUGACGGUACUUGAUGAAUAAGCCACGGCUAAUUCC